Molecule: long non-coding RNA, 7777 nt
Filed under: Homo sapiens (human)
Lineage: Eukaryota; Metazoa; Chordata; Mammalia; Primates; Hominidae
Description: non-protein coding lnc-NPTX1-1:2
Source: RNAcentral
CUCCGUCUGAUAGGUGCGGUCUGGGGAACUUGAGCUGCCCAGUCUCCCUCCUUCUUUCCCCUGCUGCAGACCCCAACUCUGAGCUUGGGGGACAGGGAGGCCGAAAGGGCCCUGUUAAACGCUGGGUGCUGGGAAGCCGCCCCCUCCAGGGAGCCCUCAGGACCUCAGGCCAGGGCUGGAAGCGAGAGGAGGCCGGAGCCCAGGGAAAACGGGCGACCGGGGGCGGCGCGCGUGUCAGUAAGGAGCCAGGCGGCGGGGACGGAAGCUCCGGGAGGGCGGCGGGCCGGGGCGGGUGUCAGAAGGCUCCGAUUGGGCCUUCUGCGGCCCUGCUUCCCCCGCCCCCGAACCCCCCAAAAGCUGCGGGCAGCGGCAGGGCGCCUGCGACACAGGGGCGCGCCGCGCGGGACCUGAGGAAAAGCUACGGCCAAGCCCCGAGCACAGGCGCGCCGCCGCGCUGGCUCCGGGAACGCGGACGCACGGCGGGGCUGCCACAGCAACGCAGACAGGAGCGCGGCGACUGGCGGAACCGCGGAGAGGCGGGACUCAGGAGGCGUCUCGCGAGAGUUAGGCUUCGCGGGCUUCCGGCCGGUGCCGGCCGCGGGGGCCGACGGGGUUAGGCUUCCGGCGUGGGUUGUGUGGCCUCUCCCAGCUCCACGCGUUUCUGGGCGCCGGGCACUAGGCGAGCCGGCCGGGCUGGCGCGAGGCCGCAGGCGGGAAGAGUCCCCGGGGUCGGCCCCGAAGCGGCUCUGGAGGCAGUAGCCGGGGACGCCGAGGUCAGGGAGGAGGCGGAUCCGAGCGCGGUCCCGCAGGGCCCUGUCCGUUCUUCCGCCUCGGCCGGUCCCGUCAGGCCGCCUUUAAAUGCCCGGCGCCUCGCACCUGCUAACAAAACGAGCUCCUGCUGUUCCCCAGCUCCGUAAAUGGUGCCCCUGGCCCUCCCCAGUUCUCAGGCAGAGCCUUGGCGGCCUCCCUGACCCCUAACACCCCGCAUCCAGCCCGGCAGUACAUCCUGUUGGCUGUGCCUUCGAAAUUUCCCCAGACCUGACCUCUUCUCCCACCUCUGCCACCACCCUGCUCCGAGCCGUCUUUUCCCGCCGAGAUGACUGUAGUAGCGUCUCAGCUGGGUCUCCCCGCUUCCACCUUCCCCUCCUGAGUCUCCUCAACACAGGAGCCAGAGCGAUCUCGGAAAGUACAGGAGGUCAUGCCCCAGUGUGGUUCCCCUUUCCUGGGUUUAAGUCAAGGUCCUCACCGUGCCUGCCGGCCUCCCGGGUCUCUGCGCGGUGGACUCUGGACCUCCCUGCCCCGUCCUGCCUCAGGGCCUUUGCACCUGCUGUUACCGCGGCCUGGAACGCUCCUCCCCUGAAACCCUGUGACUCCCACUUAGUGAGGCGACCACCUGUUGAAAACCGUGCCCCCUUCCUAUACAGAUGCUCCUGUCAUAUGGGGUUAGAUUCCCCAUCAACCCAUCAUAGGUUAAAGCAUUGUAAGGCAAUUUACGGUAGGUUUAUCCGGAUGUAACCCCAUCUGUAAGCGGAGGAGUAUACUGAAUGUGUAUGGCGUUUGUACCAUGGCAAAGCCAAAAUGUAAGUCAAACUCGAAGUCCAGGACGGUCUGUGGCCUGUACUCCCUUGCUUUCCCUCCCCGGCUCUUAGCGCCAUCCAGCAUCGUUGAUAAUGUAAUUUGAUGUGUAUUGUCUGAAAGCACCAAGACGGCAGAGUUUCUCUCUUAUCCAGAUCACAGUGUGUGCUCAGUAAACACUAGACUGAGGGGGUGUAUGAGAGGUCUUUUUUUCCUCUCUCCUUCCUCAGGAAUGGGUGAAGAUGAAGUCCUGUAAGGCAGGAGCUGGAUCAAAGAAAUAUCCCGGGUCUUGUCUGUGUGCAGACUGUUGUUUGAGGACUCUGCUCCAGUUCUAGCAGCGAUCGGUGGCUCCCUUGGGUGACUCUCCAGAAGGAAGGGUGCCAGCAUGGACUGGUGUCUGCUUGCCAGAUGCCCUGAACAGCUCAUUCCUCAGGAGGCCAGGGGCGCCUCAGGAAGUGCUGUCAAAUGCAAUCACUCUCAGAACCCUCUGGGCUGAAAGAUGUCAUUGAUUUAUGCUGGCAGCCCCGCGCAGCACUCUGCUAGGUGUUGAAUUGUCUGGAGAACACCUGGUAUCACCCUCAAGGCCCCUUAGUCUGGUAGGAAGGAAUGAUGAGGAAGAGGCUGUGUGGAAGUCACAGAGAAGGAGGAGGGUGGGAUCAGUUUCCAGGGUGGGGUCUCUGGAAGUCCUCUCAGGGGUUCUCAGGGGGGCAUUUCUGCCUAGAGCAGCAGGUGUAAGGCGUGAGCCAUGGACGAAGGGAAGGAGCCAGCCAUCAUUGAUCGCCUCCUCUGUGCUGGAUGUGGCUCUAGAUGUCAAGCUCACAUUUACACAUUAGCCUUCCUUUACAGAGGAGGAAACAGGCUCAGAAAGCCCCUGACCCCGGUUACACCACUACUAAAUGCAGGAUUCAGAUCUUCAGUUGAGCUCUUUGUGGCCGUGAAGCCUGUCCUCUUCCCAGGGCUCGAUGCCACUUCCCAGGCUGGAAGCCAGACAAGCAUCCGGGGCUGCCCGGAAUUGCAUGCAAAUGUCCGGACAGCCGGCUUCCUCGUGGGCCCCGGCACUGGCAGAGGAACUCUUUGCCGGGCAUGUGGCUUGGGCAGGCCAGGGCAGCCAUCUGCCAGCCAGCCAUGUGGGGAGGAGGCUGUAGGCCACCCCACAGCCAGAUGCUUCUGGGCCGGUCCUGGGCUCCCAAAGGUAGUUCCUUCAGGAGAUGGAGUCACCUGGCUCCUCUCUUCCCUUCCACCCAGUUCCAAAGUCAGGGGUUCUGGGGCUGUGUCAGCAAGGGGCCAUUCUGGCACUGUCCUUCUGGCACAGAGCAUUGUGGCCAGGGAUGGACAUCUGUUCUGCAUUGACCCCCAUGGCCAGGACAUCUGUGGCCCCACGGAACUCAGUGACAAGGAGAGUCGGCAGCAGGGAAAGGCCACGCUCUGUAGUGUGUCUGCCAGGUGGCAGAGGAUCCCUGACACAGCCCAGCUGGCAUCUGCCCUUGCCACUGAGGCUUCCUGAGGGCAGUCCCCAAGGGUCCUGCCAUGCCAGGGCUCCCCUUCUGCCAGGCAGUGGCUGCUUAAGCUGAGGGAGGGAGAAGCUGGGAGUUGGCCAUGACUGAUGGUACCAGGCCAGUGGGAUCUGGAGCCCACAGAUGGUGGAGGAUGGGGCACAGCCCCCACCCCUUACCUGUGACGUGCCCUGCCGGCGGGCAGAGGCAUCCGGUCUGCUCUGUAGAAGUUGGAGGUACAGACUGGCAGAGGGAGAAGCGGAAGAGAUAGCAUCAUUUUACAGAAGGGAAAGCUGAGGCCCUGAGCCAGGGGGAUAUGCAUGGAUGCCCCGUGGGCUUUCUCGCGUUUACUCCUCCGCACAGGGCCCUGUUUUUCAAUGGAGGAAUUAGGGCUUGAAGGAAAUGAAGUGAGGUUUCCAGGGUCCCCUGGCUAAGCCAGUUAUUUGGCCCUGACCGGUGCAAAUCUGAGAGGGGGACUAAGCAGGCCCUCAGGCCAGGGUCCGAGCUUGCUCACUCAGCCACAGCAGGGAAGAGUCAGCCUGAGGCAGCAGGCCCAGGAUCGAGGGUGACCCUCCUCCCAGAAGCAAGAUGUGGUGAGGUCCCAGAUGGGCUGGGAAGGUGGCAUGAGGGCUUGCUUCAAGGGAGCCUGCUGGCUGGCCUCCAGUAUCCACCUGGAAACAGCCCCCCAGGUGUGCCCCUCGAGCUGCUAACCCCAAUCUGGCCACCCCCCAACUCGCUCCUCAGCACUCCAGUGGUCAGGGUGUCCCCUUCCCUGGUCCCUCCUUGCCCCUCCUCUUAGCACCAGCAACCGGGGCCUCCAGCAGGCCAGAGAUCUUCCCACAGCCUCCUGGGCUUCCUGCCCAAGGCAGGGGCUGAUCUCUCAAGGGUGGGUGGGACUUCCGGCUGUGCCAUCAGCAGUUCCUGGCUGUAUCAGUUAGCUUUGGCUGUGUAACAAAUCACCCCAAAGCCUAGAGGCUUCACACAACUACCAUCUCUUAUCCCUCACAGAUCCCUGGGUUGCCUGACCAAUUCUGGUGUGAGCUUCCCUGCUCAGGGGACAGCUCCCUGAGCCCAGAGCCCUGACUGCAGAGCUGCCGCCUGCAGCCCUGCAUGCUGUUUCUCACCACACUGUGUCCCCGCCCUUCCAGCCCGUGGAGUCACACUUCGCCACCCAGCCCCCGAGGACACACUCAUGGAACCCCCAGUCAGGCGUCCAGACUAAGCCACCAGGGUGGCUCCUCUCAGCCCCACUCCUGACCAAAGCUUCCUGCCUAUCGAGCGUGGGGACCAACUGCAGGCACCUCCGUCUUCAAUGCCACUCCGGAGGCAGAGGGGAGCCUCCACCUUCCCUGGCAUUGUCACCAUCAACCUUAACAAUAGUUUGACUUGGUUAAGCUCCUCCAAGGGCCGGGGAGGUCGGGCUGGGGCCAGAAGGAGCAGCCUGUACCAGGUAACUGUGACAGCAGACAGCCAAUGGGCAGAAGAGAGGUGUCAACGUCCCCCACUGUCGGGACCAGAGAAGGCGCCAUGGGAUGAGGGAGGGUCUGAUCCCAAGGUAGGAGGAAGUAUCCUGGGUCCCGGGGUCCCUCGAGCAAUCUGCAUUGUAAGGGAGGGUCCCUCUGGGGCCAGGAGAUACAUCAGGAAGUGGCGGAAAGACUGCAUUUGGGGGCCAGAUCUGGAGGGCCCUGGAAGCCAGGCUGAGUCGUCUGCCUUUGCGAGUGAUGGGGAAGCGUUGACGGGCUUUGAGCCCGAGCCUGCCAGGAGCACAACGGAGCUUCAGGAAGCAGCUUUCCAGUAAGUGCCGGGAGCCUUCUUGGAAGCAGGCAGAGGAUGAAUUAUAAAUAAACAAACCAGAGCCCUGCAGCGGCGUGGGCCGGGUGGGAAGAGGGGAGAGACCGGAGGCAGGGCCUCACUUAGGUGCUAAGCAGCCCCUGGCCUGGCCCCCGCCAGCCCUCCCACCCUGCCUUGCACCCUGGCCUCGGGGACUCAGCGGCCUUCCUGCUCAGGGCAUCGGCGGGGACCUCAGGCUUCUGGGGCCAACCUUGGCCAGGCUGCAGAGGGGAGGCCUAGUGUAGACCCCCACUGUGGGACUGGGAGGCCCCCCUGCCUCUCACAACUCCAAGGGUACAGGCCCAAGUCUCUCUCACACCAAAACAGGCCCCGUGGCCACUCAUCCGUGUGGGAGGUGUCUCACCAAAUGUUUGAAGGGGAAAAAAAAUCCCAUUUUCUAAGGUGUUUUUUUCCUUUCUAUUUUUUGAUUAUUUUUCUAGAUGACUUCAUUUCUAAGAAGGGGGUAGUGGAGAGAAGGAGGACAGGGGGAGGGAGGACUUGGGCCCUGAGGAGGCCGCCGGGGACCAGAGCAGCGUUGGGGGAGGAGAGCGAGAGCCAGGCCCAGGGAAAGCCCAGGCCUCUUCAACCUGGGGAAUGGGGGGCUUCUGUGACCCGAGCCCAGGUGUGUCCCGAACCCAGGUGCCUCGAGUGCCGGCUAUGAACACAUCUCCCUCCUGAUCUCCCACGGGCCUGCUGGCCGCCUGUACUCCCACGAGGCCCUGUGGGGGAGGUCGGCUCUCCUCCAGCAGGAGGGGAAGGGUCUUCAGGCCUUCACCCCAGAUCUCUGGCAUGUGACGCGCCCACCCCCCACCUGUCCCAGGGACAGAGCUGAGAGCACUUCCCCAUCCCACACACCACUUGGAACCGGCAGAACCCACUCUGGCCAGCUUAAUGGAACCCAAUACAAGAUAUUAGGAGGCUCAUAGAACCUUCCGGAGAGCCUCGGCGGCCACACAGCCAAGAACAAGGGCCCAACCGUGCAGCCUCCCCCACCGGGCAUGGACCCAGCAGCCCGCACCUGCUGUUCUGAAAGCCAGGGCCCCGCUGCCGUCCCCGUUGGUCAAGGGAUUCUGGAGGCAUCGGCUUCCUGGCAUUGCUCACCUCUGAGGCUGAGGCUGAGGCUGGCAGGUGCGAGUGGAGCUGGCUCCUAUGCCUGGGCUCGGGCUGCAAGGGAGGCAGGCCCAGGCACAGGAUGGUGCUCAGAAGGUGGUGGCCACCCCAGCACUCCCUGAGCCCUUGAAAGACUUUUCCAACCCCAAUACCCAGCAGUCUGCUGGGCUGGAGAGACGGGAAGGGAGGCUGUCUCCCUCUCUGGGGGCUGCCAUUAACAAAUGAGCAUCAACUUGAUGGCUGAAAUCAACCGACAUUUAUUCUCUAACAGGUUUGGAGACCAGAAUUCCAAAAUCCUUCUGGUCCUCUGCGGGGACCCUGUCCCAGGCCGCUUUCCCAGCUUCCGUGGGUGCUGGGGACCUCGGCACUCCUUGGCCUGUGGAUGCAUCUCUCCCACUGUCCCACCUCUACCUUCCCCUGUGGGUGUCUGGGUCUCAAAUCUCCCUCUGCCUUUCUCUUUCGAGGACACCUGUCAUUGGAUUUCAGGUUAACCCUUCAUGCAGGAUGAUUUUAUCUCGAAAUCUUUAACUUUAUUCCAUCUGCAAAGACUAAUUCCAAAAAAGGUCACAUUCUGAGGUUGUGGGUGGACACCUGGGACCACCAUUCGGGGCACUACCAUGGGCAUGAUAAAUGGGCACAGGACGGGCAGCCGGGGAGGGAGGAGGAGAAGAGGGAAGGACGUGGGUGUCGGCUGGGACCGCUGGGGCAGGAGGAGCCAACUGCCUUGGGACUGUCGUCCUGGACGUGGGAUUGUCUGUCCUCUUACGCCCAGACCUGCUUGCCACUGCCAGAUGGUGUUUCCCACCACCCUUGGCCUCCUCACUGUUGCCUGGCAUGUCCCAGUUCUACAUGCCAUGAGCGCCCCACCUGCCCCCCAACAGCUUCCAGACCCCCUCCAAGCCUCAGAGCCCUGGGUUCUCCUGAGUCCCAGAGGCAAGAGAAGCUGCCCCAUUCCUCUCACCCAAGCCAGCCUCUUUCUCGGGUCACUGAAAGGACAGUAAGCCCCGCCAUCCCCUCGUCUCCUGACUCCCCAUAGCCCAAAGCUCUUUCUCCUCCCCAAAUCCCGCCCUGUGGAGUUUAAGCCAUUUCUUCUGAUGAGGCUCCCAGAGACAGAGACCUGUCAAGAUGCACAGGGCCAUGAGUCAGACUGGGGCAUGAAAAUGUCUGCACACAUUCUGCACACAGUCUCGCCUUUGAGGGAGACCUCAGAACUGCCUUUGAGGGUGACCUCAGAACUGCCUUUGAGGGAGACCCAAAUCCCAUUUCAGAGAUGAGGAGAGAGGUUUAAUACCCUGCUCCUGAGUUCACACAGACACGCCUGGACUUGAACCUGAAAUGACCAACUCCAGCUGUGAGUGACUCUUUUCUCUGAUUGCACCACAGGGACUCAGUCCCGUGAGGAAUGCUAUCCCUGCUGAAAUCCUUCUGGGGACAGGGAACUCACCACCUCACAAAACACAGGCUAAGGCCAGGCACGGUGGCUCAUGCCUGUAAUCCCAACACUUUGGGAGGCCAAGGUGGGAGGACUGUUUGAGGCCAGGAGUUUGAGACCAGCCUGAGCAACAUCUCAAGAUGCUGUCUCUACUAUAUAUGUGUGUGUGUGUAUACACACACACACUAGCUGGGUGUGCUGGCACACACCUGUAGUUACAGCUACUUGGGAGGCUGAGGCAGGAGGAUUGCUUGAGUCCAGGAGGUCGAGGCUGCCACGAGGCGAAAUUGCACCACUGCACUCCACCCUGGGUGACAGAGUGAGACCCCAUCUCAAA